Molecule: ribosomal RNA, 2296 nt
Filed under: human gut metagenome
Description: bacterial LSU rRNA
Rfam family: Bacterial large subunit ribosomal RNA
Source: RNAcentral
CUUGUUGGGGUUGUAGGACUCCAAUAUGGUAGUCUGUUAGUAUAGUUGAAGGAUUUGGAAAAUUCCGCUAAAGAGGGUGAAAGCCCCGUAGACGAAAUGCUGACAACACCUAGGAGGAUCCUGAGUACGGCGGAACACGAGAAAUUCCGUCGGAAUCCGCGGGGACCAUCCCGCAAGGCUAAAUACUCCCUAGUGACCGAUAGUGAACCAGUACCGUGAGGGAAAGGUGAAAAGCACCCCGGAAGGGGAGUGAAAUAGAUCCUGAAACCGUGUGCCUACAACAAGUCAAAGCUCGUUAAUGAGUGAUGGCGUGCCUUUUGUAGAAUGAACCGGCGAGUUACGAUUGCAUGCGAGGUUAAGUCGAAGAGACGGAGCCGCAGCGAAAGCGAGUCUGAAUAGGGCGAAUGAGUAUGUAGUCGUAGACCCGAAACCAUGUGAUCUACCCAUGUCCAGGUUGAAGGUGCGGUAAAACGCACUGGAGGACCGAACCCACGUACGUUGAAAAGUGCGGGGAUGAGGUGUGGGUAGCGGAGAAAUUCCAAACGAACUUGGAGAUAGCUGGUUCUCUCCGAAAUAGCUUUAGGGCUAGCCUCGGAAUUGAGAAUGAUGGAGGUAGAGCACUGUUUGGACUAGGGGCCCAUCUCGGGUUACCGAAUUCAGAUAAACUCCGAAUGCCAUUCAUUUAUAUCCGGGAGUCAGACUGCGAGUGAUAAGAUCCGUAGUCGAAAGGGAAACAGCCCAGACCACCAGCUAAGGUCCCAAAAUAUAUGUUAAGUGGAAAAGGAUGUGGGGUUGCACAGACAACUAGGAUGUUGGCUUAGAAGCAGCCACCAUUUAAAGAGUGCGUAAUAGCUCACUAGUCGAGUGACCCUGCGCCGAAAAUGUACCGGGGCUAAACAUAUUACCGAAGCUGUGGACUACACCAUUAGGUGUAGUGGUAGGAGAGCGUUCUAAGGGCGUUGAAGGUCGAUCGUGAGGACGGCUGGAGCGCUUAGAAGUGAGAAUGCCGGUAUGAGUAGCGAAAGACAGGUGAGAAUCCUGUCCACCGUAUGACUAAGGUUUCCUGGGGAAGGCUCGUCCGCCCAGGGUUAGUCGGGACCUAAGCCGAGGCCGAUAGGCGUAGGCGAUGGACAACAGGUUGAUAUUCCUGUACCAGUUGUUUUUGUUUGAGCAAUGGAGGGACGCAGUAGGCUAAGGAAUGCAUGCGAUUGGAAGUGCAUGUCCAAGCAAUGAGUCUUGAGUAGAGUUAAAUGCUUUACUCUCUAAGGACAAGUUGUGACGGGGAGCGAAAUAAUAGUAGCGAAGUUCCUGAUGUCACACUGCCAAGAAAAGCUUCUAGUGAGAAAACAACUGCCCGUACCGUAAACCGACACAGGUAGUCGAGGAGAGUAUCCUAAGGUGAGCGAGCGAACUCUCGUUAAGGAACUCGGCAAAAUGACCCCGUAACUUCGGGAGAAGGGGUGCUGACUUCGGUCAGCCGCAGUGAAUAGGCCCAAGCGACUGUUUAUCAAAAACACAGGUCUCUGCAAAAUCGUAAGAUGAAGUAUAGGGGCUGACGCCUGCCCGGUGCUGGAAGGUUAAGAGGAUGGGUUAGCUUCGGCGAAGCUCAGAAUUGAAGCCCCAGUAAACGGCGGCCGUAACUAUAACGGUCCUAAGGUAGCGAAAUUCCUUGUCGGGUAAGUUCCGACCCGCACGAAAGGCGUAACGAUUUGGGCACUGUCUCAACGAGAGACUCGGUGAAAUUUUAGUACCUGUGAAGAUGCAGGUUACCCGCGACAGGACGGAAAGACCCCAUGGAGCUUUACUGUAGUUUGAUAUUGAGUGUUUGUACCACAUGUACAGGAUAGGUAGGAGCCGAUGAGACCGGAACGCUAGUUUCGGAGGAGGCGCUGGUGGGAUACUACCCUUGUGUUAUGAACCCUCUAACCCGCACCACUAAUCGUGGUGGGAGACAGUGUCAGAUGGGCAGUUUGACUGGGGCGGUCGCCUCCUAAAAGGUAACGGAGGCGCCCAAAGGUUCCCUCAGAAUGGUUGGAAAUCAUUCGAAGAGUGUAAAGGCAGAAGGGAGCUUGACUGCGAGACCUACAAGUCGAGCAGGGACGAAAGUCGGGCUUAGUGAUCCGGUGGUUCCGCAUGGAAGGGCCAUCGCUCAACGGAUAAAAGCUACCCUGGGGAUAACAGGCUUAUCUCCCCCAAGAGUCCACAUCGACGGGGAGGUUUGGCACCUCGAUGUCGGCUCGUCGCAUCCUGGGGCUGUAGUCGGUCCCAAGGGUUGGGCUGUUCGCCCAUUAAAGCG